UUAUAGUCGAUGUCGAUUCAGCAUUUUUAACGUCUCUAAUUUAAAACUAAACAUGAAACUUUGGUUUCAUUCGGCUCCUUUAUGGAAGAAUGGAUAAAUUCCUAGAUCUAAGAUGUGAACUAAAUUACAAAAAAUUCUACCCAUAACAUCUAUGUCAGCUUUUUGUAUGAAUACAUUCAAAACGACUCGCUUUUUAGAUGAUCCCUCUAGAAGAAGGUGAUUAUGACAACCUUUCUAGUUACUUCGUUCUCUAUUUCUAUUUGAAAAAGGAUCCUGAGGAAAAAGGUUUUGUUUCCACCGGGCUAAAAUAAUAUGUUGAUAACUCUAGUAAACUAAAGUUAUCGUUUAAAAGCUAUGCUAUUUUGCUUCAAUUUCUUUUUUACAAAUAAAAAAAUUUUGAAGAUUUAGUUACGAUUAGAAAUCUACUUUUCUAUCUCCAUCCAUGGAUCCUUUACUCAUACUCAUUCAAUUGGAAGUAUUGAUCCAAUUCAAAAAUUUUGUUUCGCAAUUUCAUAAUCCAUUUUUUCAAUUUUUAAGUGACCUUUGGAUACAAACCACGAUAAUUUAUAUUUUCCUCGAAUAUAUCUUUCAGAGGUAAAGGAUUAAAUCCUUUUAAAAAAUAAAGUUUCUUUAUCGGAAUAUGAAUAAAACCGAAAGACCCCUUAACUAUUUAAGGGGAUUACUGCAACGAAUCACACUUUUACCACUAAACUAUACCCGCUACAAUGCGAUUAUUAUAUCUAAAAGGGCCUUUUGUCGAAUAGGGGAAUUAGGCAUAAUCAACAUAUGAUCAUAAAAGAAUCAUGAAAAUUAGAGUGUUGACAUUUUUUGUGGGGGAUUAAAAUUGAAUAAAAUUUAUAAAAAGAAAAGAGGGCUCAUUUAAAUAACUAAAUAACAAGUUCUAUCUUUUCUUUUGCUGGAGGAGUUUUGAUAGAUAUGGUUUGCCAAAAACACUGAAAUCAUAACAAAAAAAUGCAUUGUGUAAAAAUCCAUAGUUUCUUUUUUUAUUCCAGUAAGAAUAAGGUUGUCAAGGAAAUAAAAAAGAAAGAAAGAAUAAUAAGAAAUGACACUUUGAUUUUGUAUAAUAAGAAUGAAAAUAUUACUUUGUCUUUUUGUUGUUGCUUUAAUAGCAAACCUUUUUUGUUUUCAAAUCAGAUAAAUU
This 1162-nucleotide long non-coding RNA is filed under the name Panax ginseng (ginseng). Its description in RNAcentral is "long non-coding RNA (PGIN_LNC003737)". The record is from RNAcentral. Lineage: Eukaryota; Viridiplantae; Streptophyta; Magnoliopsida; Apiales; Araliaceae.